Heteronotia binoei (common prickly gecko) is the source of this 1189-nucleotide long non-coding RNA. RefSeq lists it as uncharacterized. The transcript is spliced from 2 exons. NCBI's taxonomy places the organism in Eukaryota, Metazoa, Chordata, Lepidosauria, Squamata, Gekkonidae. The record is from RefSeq and is a predicted model, not a curated record.
AUCUAUAUCUGGUUACAGUUGAAAUAUUAUCAUUGGCAUUUUUCUUUAAUAGACUUCAUGGGUUUUUUGCAAAGGUUAUAUCUCUGAACGUUUCACUUUUGUAUUUAAAAAUGUUUAUGAAAAAUACACACAAAGAUUGGUUAUUAUGAAUGUGGCAAAAGCAGUUUUGAAAUACAGUUACCUUGUUGGUUCACGGUGAAUGAGAGGGAUAAAGUAUGUAAGUUGGUAACUUUUCAUUGGACUUAGUUUUGUGGCUGGAAUAAUGCGUAAGCUUUUUUAGCUUAACACAGCUCUAGAGAAUAAAGAACUAGGCUUGGUUUAUAUGUGCAACAAAUUGAGAGAGGGAGAGCUUGAGGUGAUAGAAUCUACUGUACUGUUUUAGGCUGCAGACUUCCUUAUCAUGCAACUCUGCCUUGCAAACAGCAUCUUGCCACAUCAGCAUCAGAGGUCUUCGCCUUAAUAGCUCCUUGCUGUGUUGGCUUUCUACAGGGAAACUUUUAUGCAAGGUAGCAUUUUUUAAAAAAUGCACUCCCUCACCUAGGGAUCGAAGUGGUACAGUCUAUUCUACCACCUAUAUACUCCUAUCACUUUGUUUCCUCUUUAUUUGGCUACAUGUAUUAGACCUUCUCCAAUACUGGGGAAAGCGUUAUGCUCGCCUUUACAGAAGCAAGGCCAAUAAAUACAUUUUUUUUUAUUUGCCUGUUUCUGUGUGCGUGUCUCUUUUGCCUAUUGUCUCCACUUUGUUUUUAAUGACUCUGGAGUUUUAAAUCUGGCACUCUGCAAUGAUUUUAUAGGCAUCUGUUUUCUCCAGAGGAAAAUUUGAACAAAUAGUUAAAUUCAAACUUUAAAUUGGCAAAAACCCCCACUAACUUUAAAUUUGCAGGACUGAAGACUAUAUGUGAAUGGUAAAUUUCUUAUGUAGAUGUAGGGAAACUAGACUGAAAAAAGCCCACUAGCUGUGAAAUCAGAACUGCUCUGAAAAUUAUGUCUACUUUCUGUGGGUUCAAAUAGACAUCCUCUUGUAAGAGGACGUUCCUGUGGAAUCUUAAGCUAAUGAAUGAAACUUUGUGCCUCAUCUAAUUUUCCUUAUCAUUGUUCAUUUAUUGCACUACCCUUUUUCAUCUAAAAUGUUUGUAUCCUCCUAGAAUGUUGGCAUUUGGUUACAAUCAAAUAAAUAUUUCCUUCAUUA